CAAAAUGUUUUCGAUACUUAGUUAGCAUUGGCUGUUUCUAUGCUAUUUUAUGGUCAUAGUACAGCCAGUGCUCACUUCAUUUCGGAUUCAAUAAC
RNAcentral lists this microRNA precursor (95 nucleotides) under Tribolium castaneum (red flour beetle). Its description in RNAcentral is "microRNA tca-mir-11618b precursor (tca-mir-11618b-1)". The record is from miRBase by way of RNAcentral. Lineage: Eukaryota; Metazoa; Arthropoda; Insecta; Coleoptera; Tenebrionidae.